Molecule: long non-coding RNA, 992 nt
Organism: Oncorhynchus tshawytscha (Chinook salmon)
Lineage: Eukaryota; Metazoa; Chordata; Actinopteri; Salmoniformes; Salmonidae
Source: Ensembl
AGCAGGUAGCCUAGUGGUUAGAGCAGGUAGCCUAGUGGUUAGAGCAGGUAGCCUAGUGGUUAGAGCAGGUAGCCUAGUGGUUAGAGCAGGUAGCCUAGUGAUUAGAGCAGGUAGCCUAGUGGUUAGUGGUUAGAGCAGGUAGCCUAGUGGUUAGAGCAGGUAGCCUAGUGGUUAGAGCAGGUAGCCUAGUGGUUAGUGGUUAGAGCAGGUAGCCUAGUGGUUAGAGCAGGUAGCCUAGUGGUUAGAGCAGGUAGCCUAGUGGUUAGAGCAGGUAGCCUAGUGGUUAGAGAAGGUAGCCUAGUGGUUAGAGAAGGUAGCCUAGUGGUUAGAGCAGGUAGCCUAGUGGUUAGAGAAGGUAGCCUAGUGGUUAGAGCAGGUAGCCUAGUGAUUAGAGCAGGUAGCCUAAUGGUUAGAGAAGGUAGCCUAGUGGUUAGAGCAGGUAGCCUAGUGGUUAGAGAAGGUAGCCUAGUGGUUAGAGAAGGUAGCCUAGUGAUUAGAGCAGGUAGCCUAGUGGUUAGAGAAGGUAGCCUAGUGGUUAGAGCAGGUAGCCUAGUGGUUAGAGCAGGUAGCCUAGUGGUUAGAGCAGGUAGCCUAGUGGUUAGAGAAGGUAGCCUAGUGGUUAGAGAAGGUAGCCUAGUGAUUAGAGCAGGUAGCCUAGUGGUUAGAGAAGGUAGCCUAGUGGUUAGAGCAGGUAGCCUAGUGGUUAGAGAAGGUAGCCUAGUGGUUAGAGCAGGUAGCCUAGUGGUUAGAGAAGGUAGCCUAGUGGUUAGAGCAGGUAGCCUAGUGGUUAGAGAAGGUAGCCUAGUGGUUAGAGAAGGUAGCCUAGUGGUUAGAGCAGGUAGCCUAGUGGUUAGAGAAGGUAGCCUAGUGGUUAGAGCAGGUAGCCUAGUGAUUAGAGCAGGUAGCCUAAUGGUUAGAGAAGGUAGCCUAGUGGUUAGAGCAGGUAGCCUAGUGGUUAGUGUUUAGAGCAGGUAGCCUAGUGGUUAGAGCAG